CUACGGGUCGCUCCAGUGGGGAAUAUUGCACAAUGGGGGAAACCCUGAUGCAGCAACGCCGCGUGGAGGAUGACGCAUUUCGGUGUGUAAACUCCUUUUAUAUAGGAAGAUAAUGACGGUACUAUAUGAAUAAGCACCGGCUAACUCCGUGCCAGCAGCCGCGGUAAUACGGAGGGUGCAAGCGUUACUCGGAAUCACUGGGCGUAAAGCGCGCGCAGGCGGCCUUUUAAGUUGGAUGUGAAAGCCUAUGGCUUAAUCAUAGAACUGCAUCCAAAACUAUCAGGCUUGAGUCUGGGAGGGGAAGAUGGAAUUAGUUGUGUAGGGGUAAAAUCCGUAGAGAUAACUAGGAAUACCAAAAGCGAAGGCGAUCUUCUGGAACAGUACUGACGCUGAGGCGCGAAAGCGUGGGGAGCAAACAGGAUUAGAUACCCGCGUAGUC
Molecule: ribosomal RNA, 439 nt
Filed under: uncultured bacterium
Lineage: Bacteria
Description: partial 16S ribosomal RNA
Rfam family: Bacterial small subunit ribosomal RNA
Source: RNAcentral